AUUGAACGCUGGCGGCAUGCUUUACACAUGCAAGUCGAACGGCAGCACGGGUGCUUGCACCUGGUGGCGAGUGGCGGACGGGUGAGUAAUGCAUCGGAACGUGUCCUGAAGUGGGGGAUAACGCAUCGAAAGAUGUGCUAAUACCGCAUAUUCUCUGAGGAGGAAAGUAGGGGAUCGAAAGACCUUAUGCUUUUGGAGCGGCCGAUGUCUGAUUAGCUAGUUGGUAGGGUAAUGGCUUACCAAGGCGACGAUCAGUAGUUGGUCUGAGAGGACGACCAGCCACACUGGGACUGAGACACGGCCCAGACUCCUACGGGAGGCAGCAGUGGGGAAUUUUGGACAAUGGGCGCAAGCCUGAUCCAGCAAUGCCGCGUGAGUGAAGAAGGCCUGGUUGUAAG
Molecule: ribosomal RNA, 398 nt
Filed under: uncultured bacterium
Lineage: Bacteria
Description: bacterial SSU rRNA
Rfam family: Bacterial small subunit ribosomal RNA
Source: RNAcentral